Long non-coding RNA from Ipomoea nil (Japanese morning glory), 282 nucleotides. RefSeq lists it as uncharacterized. Lineage: Eukaryota; Viridiplantae; Streptophyta; Magnoliopsida; Solanales; Convolvulaceae. The transcript is spliced from 3 exons. The record is from RefSeq and is a predicted model, not a curated record.
AUGUGUUGUCAAAAUUCCUAGUAGAAUUUGUUUGACUUCUGAUCUUUGGACAGCAUGCACAGUUGAGGGAUAUAUUUGUUUAACUGCUCAUUAUAUUGAUAGUAAUUGAAAGUUAAACAAUAAAAUAUUAUCCUUUUGUGCUAUGCCUCCCCCACAUACUGGUGUUCAGUUAGCUAAGAAGCUUCUAGAAUGUUUAAAAGAGUGGGGAAUAGAGAAAAAAUUGUUUUCUCUUACUUUGGAUAAUGCUUCUGCUAACGAUACUAUGCAAAAUAUCUUGAAAGG